GCCCCCCUAGCUCAGUGGUAGAGCGCGUUCUUGGUAAGAACGAGGUCAUCGGAUCGAUUCCGAUGGGGGGCU
The sequence is a transfer RNA, 72 nucleotides long. It matches the Rfam family "tRNA". From Rfam's summary of the family: Transfer RNA (tRNA) molecules are approximately 80 nucleotides in length. Their secondary structure includes four short double-helical elements and three loops (D, anti-codon, and T loops). The record is from Rfam.